CCGGCAGUGAUGAGUGGCGCAGGGGUACUGACCUCAGCUGGAUAAUGGGAGCUGAGUGCAGCCGUUCUUCGCUUAGCCCACAUGUGGUGGGCUUCCCGAGAAAUGGCUGCAUGAGAACAUUCGCCUGUACUGAGCCGC
Molecule: small nucleolar RNA, 138 nt
Organism: Hypanus sabinus (Atlantic stingray)
Lineage: Eukaryota; Metazoa; Chordata; Chondrichthyes; Myliobatiformes; Dasyatidae
Product: small nucleolar RNA SNORD94
Exons: 1
Source: RefSeq, a predicted model, not a curated record